This 217-nucleotide long non-coding RNA is filed under the name Homo sapiens (human). Its description in RNAcentral is "HSALNT0213921". Lineage: Eukaryota; Metazoa; Chordata; Mammalia; Primates; Hominidae. The record is from RNAcentral.
GCAAAAUUGUUGAGCCAAGGUCCUGGAACUGUGAGUAAGAAAAUGACAAACCCAUCUCUCAGUGGCACCCCUACUGCAGGAGUUGAGCACUCAUUAGAGAAGCAGGAAAUGGACCUGAAUAUCCUCUUAGCAGCCAUGACUGGAUGCCAAAUGGGACAAAGAAGGAUGUCAUGACUCAUUAGUGUAAACAGGAGGAAGUUGACUACUUCAAUUUUCU